Molecule: ribosomal RNA, 499 nt
Filed under: uncultured bacterium
Lineage: Bacteria
Description: partial 16S ribosomal RNA
Rfam family: Bacterial small subunit ribosomal RNA
Source: RNAcentral
GACGAACGCUGGCGGCGUGCUUAACACAUGCAAGUCGAACGGGCCCGCUCUCUUUUUUGGGGGUGGGUUGAGUGGCGAACGGGUGAGUAUCACGUGAGUAACCUGCCCCCUGCUCCUGGAUAACUGCUUGAAAGGGCGGCUAAUACGGGGUGUGCCGGCUGGUCCGCAUGGGCCUGGUCGGGAUAGUUUCAUCUUCGGGUGUUUCGGUGGGGGAUGGGCUCGCGGCCUAUCAGCUUGUUGGUGGGGUGAUGGCCCACCAAGGCGGUGAUGGGUAGCCGGCCUGAGAGGGUGGGCGGCCACACUGGGACUGAGACACGGCCCAGACUCCUGCGGGAGGCAGCAGUGGGGGGUAUUGCACAAUGGGCGGAAGCCUGAUGCAGCGACGUCGCGUGAGGGAUGGAGGCCUUCGGGUUGUGAACCUCUUUCUCCGGUGGUGAAGGCCCUGUCCGUUGCGGCGGGGUUGACGGUAGCCGGGUAUGAAGCGCCGGCUAACUACGUG